CCAUCAAUCCCAGACUGAAGCUCUGAGAACUGUAGUUUGGCUGUCUGCAGCUCCUGGGGGCAGGGAGAACCAGGUGGGAAGAGGGAGCUCCAGUACCCUGAAGAACUGAGAAGAUACUCCAUCUAUAUCGUGGCAGCUAACCCCUUACUUAGACCGAUUAUCCACUACCCAUUAGACAUCUUUCUCAUCCUUUCCAGUCCAAAGGAGAUUUUGCUCGGCAGAGAAAACAGCUCAGUUCCAGGAUGGUGACGUUUCCCGAACAUGUCCAUAUCAUCUAUAAUGUACUCCCACGCCAAAAUCGUCUGGUUCCUGGAUUACUACACAGGAGGAUGCCUUCUUAAUAUACAGUGCUUCUACGUCACAGUUUUACCUAGCUUGUUUGUUUUUUUUUUCUAUAAGGAAUACUAACU
Phascolarctos cinereus (koala) is the source of this 410-nucleotide non-coding RNA. The record is from RefSeq and is a predicted model, not a curated record. NCBI's taxonomy places the organism in Eukaryota, Metazoa, Chordata, Mammalia, Diprotodontia, Phascolarctidae.